GCCGCGCCCAGGCCGACGGGGCGAAAAGCCGGACACCUUCGCUGGCUUGGUACGGUGCCUUUAUGAAGG
Molecule: small RNA, 69 nt
Filed under: Immundisolibacter cernigliae
Lineage: Bacteria; Pseudomonadati; Pseudomonadota; Gammaproteobacteria; Immundisolibacterales; Immundisolibacteraceae
Description: int-alpA RNA
Rfam family: int-alpA RNA
About the family: Acidobacteria (1 example), Planctomycetes (1 example), Proteobacteria. Environment (Lake Washington)
Source: Rfam by way of RNAcentral